Molecule: ribosomal RNA, 497 nt
Filed under: uncultured bacterium
Lineage: Bacteria
Description: partial 16S ribosomal RNA
Rfam family: Bacterial small subunit ribosomal RNA
Source: RNAcentral
GAUGAACGCUGGCGGCGUGCCUAAUACAUGCAAGUCGAGCGAACGGACGAGAAGCUUGCUUUUCUGAUGUUAGCGGCGGACGGGUGAGUAACACGUGGAUAACCUACCUAUAAGACUGGGAUAACUUCGGGAAACCGGAGCUAAUACCGGUUAAUAUUUUGAACCGCAUGGUUCAAAAGUGAAAGACGGUCUUGCUGUCACUUAUAGAUGGAUCCGCGCUGCAUUAGCUAGUUGGUAAGGUAACGGCUUACCAAGGCAACGAUGCAUAGCCGACCUGAGAGGGUGAUCGGCCACACUGGAACUGAGACACGGUCCAGACUCCUACGGGAGGCAGCAGUAGGGAAUCUUCCGCAAUGGGCGAAAGCCUGACGGAGCAACGCCGCGUGAGUGAUGAAGGUCUUCGGAUCGUAAAACUCUGUUAUUAGGGAAGAACAUAUGUGUAAGUAACUGUGCACAUCUUGACGGUACCUAAUCAGAAAGCCACGGCUAACUACGUG